Salvia hispanica is the source of this 1174-nucleotide non-coding RNA. NCBI's taxonomy places the organism in Eukaryota, Viridiplantae, Streptophyta, Magnoliopsida, Lamiales, Lamiaceae. The record is from RefSeq and is a predicted model, not a curated record.
CAAUAAGAGGAAUGAAGUGGGGCGCCUCUUUCUCCCACCCUCUCUCUGCCUCUACAUAACUCAGCAUCUCCCUCCCUCUUCCUCCUCUCUUGGUCUCUCUCUCGGUCGCCGAUCACAAGUUUCAGACCAUCCGCCAUGACACGACGGCUGUUGGGCAGUGACCGCACUCGAGCAGCGGCUUCGUAAGCAGGGGAAGGGCGCCGGAGACAGCAGCAGCGGCGUGCGUGCGUGCGUGUGGCUGCCGGAGCAGAGGCAGGGGCGGCUGUUUCGGGUAGCUCGGUGCUUACAAAGUACUCUUAAGAGCUAAGUAUUCGUCAUGAUUUACAUAAGGUCACCCUAAUUGCUCAAGAUAUUGUUGUCUCUAGCAUAAAAGGUUGAUAAGCAUGCUAAUUUGUUUGUAGAGCUUGACGUGAUUUCAUUUUCAAGGUUGGUUCCGUGAACAAGAGUAUUGACUAGGAGUACUAUGUUCAAAGUCUAAGUUGAGCAUAAAAUUUUCGAGAGAAUCUCGAUGCAUAAAUGUUGAUAAAUUGGAUUAAUUUUACUACAUGAUGAAAACCAAAUGUGAAGUAAAGCUUAGAAAAUCAAAUUAACUUAAGGAAAAAUAGGAAUGUAGUGUGUAGUGUGAAAUUAAUCUUAAAAGAGAAAAAGGAAAUGUGUAUUAUAUAAGCAGCUGAGCCCAACCCUAGCUAAUUUGCAAGGCCUGAUUACAGAAAGCCUACUCACACUUAGCCCAAUGGGCUGGAAACAACAUUAUCCUACUUGCUACGUCAUCUAAAGCCUUUCUAGGGUUUCCUCAAUGCAUUCACGCCCCUUAUAAUCCCUAAAUCACACCUCUCUGAGAUACACAAGUUUAUCGUCGUCACAUUUCAAUAUAGGUUUGCAAUUCCUUUCUUAUAAUCGUUUUAUUUCUCCAUUUUCACAACUAAUUUACAAUUUUUAAGAAGGAUCGAUGAUGCAUUAGUUUAAAACUGCGUUAUCUAUCUGAUAUUUCCAAUUCGGAAUUGAAGAUACUUUUCUAGCUCCUGAGAUCCUUUCUUUUUCUAUGUUAUUCUUCAUAUUUUUCGGAUUUGUUCAUUGUUGAAGAUGAGCAUCCGAGAUGAGAAAACAUUAAUGUCAUCCUUGCACUUUGAUUCAGAAAUGAAGAAAAUCAAUGGGGAAAUGAUACUCUGAGAUG